This 5251-nucleotide long non-coding RNA is filed under the name Homo sapiens (human). RNAcentral describes it as "HSALNT0056834". Lineage: Eukaryota; Metazoa; Chordata; Mammalia; Primates; Hominidae. The record is from RNAcentral.
GCAAGAGUCAGGAUAAGAAGUAUGACACUCACAGUGAAAGCACAAAACAUCAAGCCAACAGUUCAGGACUAGUCAUUCAAAUGGACUAAAGGUGGGGGAGAAAAAAUAAGAGUGGAUAAAAGAAAGAAAGAAAACAGAGAAAGGUGGGAAAAAAAAAACAAAGGAAGGAAGAGAGAAAAGAGAAUGAGAGGAAGAGAAGGAAGGGGAAAAACAAGAUUGACUUUACAGUAUGAGAUAUACUAUUAUAUAUUGGACCCUUGGUGGGCAGUGCCUAAACAGAGACAACUACAGGUUUCUGGCUGUGGCCACUCUCUGGUGAAACUAAGGGGUUUCUGUGUGGAGGUGCCUAACAGCCACCGUCCAGUUUGGGUAAAGAAAGCUUUUUAUGGUUCACUAAGGACAAUCAACCCCUUCGCAAUCUAGAACCAAAAGACUGGAUCUUCUGAGAACAUCUACUGUAAGAACUAUAGUUACACAACAGACUUUGAAUUCUCUUGUGAAAGUUAAGGUAGAAUUGGCUGAACAGAGGAGUAUCUGUGCGGCUGCUGGCAUUUGUGGCUUAUGGAGAAACACAUUAAAUGAAGAUUACAGAGAUUCAUUGGCAGGGGAUUAACAGAGAUUGCUUAAUUAAUAGUAUGAUGCCUCUGGCUUCCCUCUAUCACACGUCUUCUUUUCGAGUAAAGGUUUUUCAUAAAUGUGAGCGUGGAAGAAGAAACCAGUUAAAUAUGGAACUUCACACCAGGACACAAAAGAUGGUGUCAGAAGCGGAUCCGAAGUGGAACUUUUAGUGACCCUCAGGAGCACUGAAUGAACAUGCAAGGAACCUGCAGGACCCACUUGUGUCCAUUGAUCUCUGGGAGCAGCUGGGAUAAGCUCCUUUUCGGAUUUCAGAGCUCCAUGGACUUGUGUCUUGAGAUCCCUGAGUUUCUUUGAGCAAAUUUCUGAUCCAAAAUGGGUUUGGCAUCAUGGCAGAAACAGGACUGGGUCCACGAAUGGAUUUGAUCCAGGAAUGAACUGGCUUGGAUCCAGUCAGAGGUCUCUUACAUCUGACUGGGUCAGAAAGGAACUGGUAGUAAGCAGUAAUAUUGCAGAGGAUGGUGUGGCAAGCUGAGUCACUAAGGCUGCUCAGGGAAAGGGAACCCAGAAUCUUGGCAUGCCGGCAAAAGGCCCAUGGUUCACUGAGGACAACUCCUUUGCAAUCUAGAACCCAAAGAUUGGAUCUUCUGAGAACAUCAGAGAAAGACUGUCCUUGCCAUCCACACUACAGCAAAGCUUUGGAGCCUUGAACCUUGGGUUCAUGAUCUUACAACUGAGAAGGGCCCCUCCACACUCCUGAACUGUACAACCAUUGAAACUCUUAAGGUAAAAUUAACUAGGAAAGUUUAUCUCCUUAAGAAGAUGGCAUCCUUGAUGUGAACAGCUUUUCCCAAGAUCCUGGAUCAAAACGUCUACUAUCACGAGACUCUUAUAUUUGAAUAUAUUUUCCGGUUUAUGCCUUUAGGAACAAUUGAAAUGAAAGGGGGAUCUAUUAUGUGCACUUAUAGGGUAUACUUUUAUUUGUGAAGGAUUUUGCAUCCAGCCUUAUAUGAAUAACCUUGUACUUUAAUAGAUAAAAGAUGAAGGCUCAAUGUAGGUGAGAAAAUGUAGUGGUACAUAUGUUGCCUCAUAAUCAGUCAAAACUCUUCUUAACCCACAUAAUGGAUUAAAGAGAAUAUUGCCAGGAGGCCUUCGCUUUUCUAAAAUGACAUCAUUUGUUAGGUCCUUUUUCCAUAGUUUAGUAUAAAAGAGGCAAUAAUUAGAAAUGUCACCCUCAUAAUAGGCUCUACAGCAAAUUCUACUUUAAAGGCUAUUGUUACACAACAGACUUUAAAUUAUCUUGUAAAAGUUAUGCUAAAUAAUAGAAUUGGCCAAACAGAAAAGUACCUGUGCAGUUGCUGACACCUGUGGCCUAUGGAGAAAUACAUCAAAUGUAGAUUAUACAAUUUCAGUUGUAGGGGAUUAAUGAAAAGACCACCUAGUCAAGCAAGUAGGCUCUUCAUAUAGCUCAUUCUUUAAUCUAUUUAAUUUUACAUGGUUUGGUUUAUGGGGACCCUGGGUAAGGAGCACACUCCAAAUUUGUUAUUAUUCUCCCAGUACUCAUAAUGAUAGUCUCCCUGAUGUGCUAUAUUCUCUUAAAGGUUUUAAAUGUUUGCAUGCAGCCAUCUCUAGAACAUCAAAUGGUCUCUAUUCAACCAGAAUGACAAAAGCUGAAAGAAAUGUGUGACCCUGAGGAUAUCGUAACCUACGAAUGAUGUGCUGAGACUGGAAACCCUAAAUGAUGUUACUGAGAAUGGCACUAAGGCCUUAAGUUUUGGUCACACUGUCACCUAAGUGAGAACCUGGCUGAAAAGGGAGAAUUUUUAAACAACAAAAUUAGAGGAAGCCACUAUUUUGGACUGAGCUCAUGCACUAGGCCCCAACAAACGAAACCAAGCUAAAAUGGAGUCACUCAUCCUAAAUGUGACAUAAUCAAACCAAGGCUUUAAGAACACAGAUAGAUGCUAGAACAGACUACAUUUUGUUUUUCUCCUGUAAACAGGAUGUCUAUCAUAAGGAGGUACCGUCUACUCAGUCCUUAUUCUCUCCUUGCAAAACCCACUUUUCUACUGUUUCCCAGUGGGUUUCAAACCAUAUAAUACAUUUAUGAUAGUGAUAUUAACAUCAAUGACUAAGGUUUUGGUCAAUCUCUCAAAAUUGAGAAAAUGACCAAAAGAGGGAAAUGAUUGCUAAAGCAAACUAAAUAUGGCCUGGGAAGAACUCCAUAGUCUUAUAUUUGAGUUCUUGCAGAUGAACUGUAACUUAGCUUAAUAGUCAGACAAAACUGAAAACCUAACUUAAUAGUAUGCGUCUGUAACAAUGGCUGAGUGUUCGCUAAUCCCAGCGGCCAUACUUCAACCACUCAUAGACUGCUGAAAGUUCAAAGUGCAUUCAAAUAAGGCAAAAACGGAGCUUAACCAGCCUCACUGUUUCUGUAUCUCACUUCCGAUUCCUGUAUGUCACUUUACCUUUUUUGUCUAUAAAUGUGUUCUGACCACGAGGCACCCCAGGUCUCUGUGAAUCUGUUGUAAUUCUGGAGGUGCCUGAUUCGCCAAUCAUUCAUUGCUCAAUUAAACUCCUUUAAAUUUAACUCAGCUGGACUUUUCCUUUUAUCAGGUUGAAUUUUACAUAUCUACUUUAGAUUUUAAUUUCUUCUAUAAAUUAAAAUCUAAUCUUCCAUAAUUUCUGAUAAAAUGUUUGUUAAAUGAACUCAAUGCAUUGGACAAAAAUUUCCUGUUGCUUUUCUUUCAAAGUACAUAAAUUGAUGCUACUUUUUCCACCUUUCUCACAUUUUCUCUGUCCCAAUCUUACACUGGAGGUUCAAUAGUCUUCUUCAUGCCUCAAGUUCUUUCUCUUGUAAUAUGAAAGGCAUGUGGCCACUUUCCUUUUCUAAUUCUUUCAUAAAUCUAAACAUUUUCACUACCUAUUGGUUACUAUGCUCACCAUCUGGGUGAAGGCAUCAUUUGUACACAAAAUCUAUAAAAUAUACUAUUUACUUAUGUAAAAAACCUAAACAUGUACCUGCUGAACCUAAAAUAAAAGUUGAAAAAGAAAAAUAAAUAAAUAAUACCUUCCCAGAAUAUUGCCUAUAGGAACAAGUCUAAAUUCCUUAAUACAGAGUAAAAUGGUAAUAAAAUUCUUGCCCUGAUUUUCUUUCUUAGGCCUAUGUCAUUUCAACACUCCCCAUCACCAUUCUUCCCCAAUCUCUUCCAUUUUUUGAGUCUAAAAUCCUUAAUACAUUGAAUUUUUGUUCAAUAUUUGUUAUAUGCCCAAAACUAUGCUAAGCUGCUGGACUCGUGCUCUUUCACAAUUCCUUUUCUGUUCCUUUCAGACUAGUGAAAUGAUACUGAUUUUUAAUGAUCUGUCUUUUCUUGGAAAUUUCCUAUUUCCAAAUGUCAAAAAAAGAACUUAUAAUUUUUGUCUCUCCAUUUCCAUAACACUUAUCAAUGUCACUGACAUAGCCCUAAUAAUUAUGAGAUGUACAUUGUUAGUUACACACAUUUCUUGUUUUCCUACUUUUGAUGUCUUUAAGGUCAGAGAUUGUAUUUUACUCGUUUGUAUUCCUAUCAGAAAAAAAACUGUGGCUUACAUGUAAUAUACAUUCAGUAAUUGUUUGAAUGAAAAAUGUAUUAAAAUAGUAUGAGUAUCCAAGUUGGUGAUUCAAUUUAGUUAAUCUCUUCUGAUACCCCUACCCCAAAAAGGCAUAUGUAAAAGUGCAUAAAAUUGUGUGUAUGAAUAUGUAGAUCAAUAGAUAGAAGCAUCUGUGAACACAAAUAAGAAAUUUAGGAAAUGAUUAUCUUAGAAACUCUUUAGCAUCAAAUCUUAUUUAUUUAUUUAUUUAUUUGCUAUAGCUUUUGGGGAAAAGUUGGAUUUUUGUUACAUGGAUAAGUUCUCUUGUAGUAAUUCCUGAGAUUUUGGUGCACACUGUACCCAAUCUGUAUUCUUUAUUCCUCACCCCUCUCCCCGCAUUCCCCUUGAGUCUCUGAAGUCCCUUAUAUCAUUCUUACGCCUUUGCAGCCUCAUAACUUAGCUCCCACUUAUAAGUGAGAUCAUACAAAAUUUGGUUUUCCAUUCCUGAGUUACUUCACUUAGAAUAACUGUUUCCAGCUCCAUCCAGGUUGCUGAAAAUGCCAUUAUUUCAUUCAUUUUUAUGGCUGAGUAGUAUUCCAUGGUGUAUAUAUGCCACCUUUUCUUUAUUUACUCUUUGGCCAGUGGACAUUUAGGCUGAUUUCAUAUUUUUGCAAUUGUGAAUUUUGCUACUAUACACAUGUAUGUGCAAGUGUAUUUUUCAUACAAUGACUUCUUUUCCUCUGGGUAGAGACCCAGUAGUGCGAUUGCUGGAUGAAAUGCUAGUUCUACUUCUAGUUAUUUAAGGAAUCUCCAUACUGUUUUCCAUAUGGGUGGUACUAGUUUACAUUCCCAACAGCAGUAUAAAAGUGUUCCCUUUUCACCAUAUUCACGCUAAUAUUUAUUAUUUUUUAUUUUUAAUUAUGGUCAUUCUUGGAUCUCAUUGUAUUUUCAAUUUGCAUUUCCCUGGUAAUUAGAGAUGUUGAGCAUAUUUUCAUGUUUGUUGGCCAUUUGGAUAACUUUUUCUGAGAAUUGUCUGUUCAUGUCCUUUGCCCACUUUUUAAGUUUAAUUUAAUACUAAUCCUACUAUUAUAUAUAUAUAUAUAAG